This 468-nucleotide ribosomal RNA is filed under the name uncultured bacterium. RNAcentral's name for it is "partial 16S ribosomal RNA". It matches the Rfam family "Bacterial small subunit ribosomal RNA", at positions 28 to 507 of the family's 1533-position model. The record is from RNAcentral.
GACGAACGCUGGCGGCGUGCUUAACACAUGCAAGUCGAACGGAAAGGCCCUGCUUUUGUGGGGUGCUCGAGUGGCGAACGGGUGAGUAACACGUGAGUAACCUGCCCUUGACUUUGGGAUAACUUCAGGAAACUGGGGCUAAUACCGGAUAGGAGCUCCUGCUGCAUGGUGGGGGUUGGAAAGUUUCGGCGGUUGGGGAUGGACUCGCGGCUUAUCAGCUUGUUGGUGGGGUAGUGGCUUACCAAGGCUUUGACGGGUAGCCGGCCUGAGAGGGUGACCGGCCACAUUGGGACUGAGGUACGGCCCAGACUCCUACGGGAGGCAGCAGUGGAGAAUAUUGCACAAUGGGCGGAAGCCUGAUGCAGCAACGCCGCGUGCGUGAUGACGGCCUUCGGGUUGUAAACCGCUUUCGCCUGUGACGAAGCGUGAGUGACGGUAAUGGGUAAAGAAGCACCGGCUAACUACGUG